RNAcentral lists this long non-coding RNA (5575 nucleotides) under Sus scrofa (pig). Its description in RNAcentral is "lncRNA (ENSSSCG00025071596.1)". Lineage: Eukaryota; Metazoa; Chordata; Mammalia; Artiodactyla; Suidae. The record is from RNAcentral.
AAUCCAGUGCCAACUCAAGGUCCUUGGAAAAGCUGGGAAGUGUCGCUGGCUCCAAACAAGUGUUGAAGGAAGAAAAAUAUAAAGGUGCAGGGCUGCAGUGGGGCCACAGAGACUGAUUGAGAAUCAUUCGCCAGGAAUCUAGACUGAUUUGGUGGAACUUCCUUAAUGAUGAUGCAACACAGCGUCCGUGGUUCUUGCUCCGUCCUUCAGAACAUAUAGGAGAGAUACGUGGGAAUGUCUGGCAAUGGAUUUUGUCCUUCUCUCCAUUGGCUUUCAGAGGCGUGUGGCAUUCAGACUCACCUGGGUUGAUGGUAUCACGCUGUGCGACACGAGCAUGAGAGGAUGCUGAAAGGAUGAGACAGCUUGGCAAGGACACCAGGACUGAGCAGCCUCCUUUACUCACCGAAAAAGACAAGUCAGCCUCGAAGACUCAUUUACAUGGUCCCUCGCUGUCCUGCCUUAGGUGAAGGCCUUUAAAACAAGUACAGGUAAAAUGGAUCCUUUUGGGUCUGCUCUUAUGCUCUGUUCAUUUUUGACACACCUGUUAAAUAGUGCCGGGAACCGUGCGAGUUCUUGCUCCUUGGGAGGGUCAAGCCAGGGUCCAGAUGUGGCCGCAGCGAGGACCGUGCAGUGCUUGUCCCUGGAUCCCCAGGCCAAAGUGGUAUUAGAAGGAGCUCUUCCAAGCUCGCCAGACCUGGCUACACGGCCCCCUCCAUCUCCCCAGGGUACUGAGGACCCGAAAGACACAGAUCAGGGAUUCUUCUCAGAUCCCAGCAACUGUAGAAGACAUCUGAUAUUUCUGUCCCCACUAAGAUACAGAGACGCGACUUUGAAAAGGCGUCCUUUCUGCAUUUCCUAAGAUGGCCCUUAACUAAGCAAAAAGCGGGGAGGGCAUCAUACAGUGCGGUGCUCUGUGCCCCGCUGUUGUUAUUAUGCUCCAUCUGAUUUCCUACAGUCGUACCUUUCCUGACAGAGGGUGGGUCUUCCCACCUGUGGCUCUGUUUCAGGGCUGACACAUGUUAACACAAGAACGUCACAGGUUGUCACCAUUGAGUUUAAGAUAGUGGUUGGACACGCUGAAGUCAAGUUGUCUACACUCAACUGUGCUGUCCUAUCUGUGUCAGGAAAAGGGGUAUUCAGAAAAGUGGAUAGGAAUCUUUCUAAGAAUAUGACCCUUAUACCUGGGCCCUAGGAAUACAGCUUCGUUAGAAGCCAAACCUAAGCAAUAAGCAACAAGAAAAAGGCAGUCAGCUUGGUGAACAGCCAGGCUGUUGCCCAUUGGGGAAUUAACCUGCCUUUGCUUCUGCUGAAAAGGAUCACGUUUCAGUCCAAAAGGAGCAGGACAGGUCUGCAAAACUAACCUCCCAUUUAACUCUUUUUUUGAUCUUAAUGCUUAAUGCAGGCCAACAUCUGCUCACACAUUAACUGUGGAACACUCCAGAUCAAAGCGUCUCUAAUUAUCAGUGAUUUCUUCAGGACUUGAAUUUCGCCGGCUCAUCUUGCAGGAUAAAAAGUCCCCUUCGGUCUGAGUCCUGAAUCAAUCUGCUAGGUAUUCAAAAACGGCAGCUUAAAGGGCAAUGUUUCUAUUAUACACACACUUAUUUGUUUUCCGUUUCACUUAAAUAGAAUGUAAUAACACCUGUUUCUUCACUUGCAUACACUGAAAGGUUUCAACUGAAAUACGAUGUUAGGGGUGGUUUACCAAGGUUUACCUGAAAACCUUUCAUCUAAGUAUGUCAAAGCAGCUGCCAAAAUGGGGAAGCAUUACAUCAAGAAAGAAAGCCUAAAACGGAAGCUUAUGUUCGCGUUAAGAACAUAACACCCUGUGCAUCACAUGGGUUCCAACCCCAAAUACAACUGCAUCUUGGGGAACCAUGUCUUUUUCAUGUUUGUCCCCUGGAUGCUGGCACGGUGCCUGCCUAGCCGAGGGCAGAUGCCCAAUAAAGGCGGGUGGAGAGGCUUGUGAGUAAACAUUGCAGAGGUCCCGCAAGUGCGAGCCAGCUCGUGCCUUGAAAUGCAUGGGACAACCUUGACUGCUGGUGCGUUGUGGCUGAGUCAUUUCUAUAUCUUAAUUUUCUCAGUCUCUCCCUUGAAAUAACAAGGGCAGUGAAUACCACUAAAUUAAUGAAGAGCAUGAUAUAAAACAAGGAAAAUAAUGUAAGUGACUAAGCUUUUUUUUUUUUUUUUCUUCCUUUUUAAAGGCUGUGCCUGUGAUAUACGGAAGUUCCUGGGCUAGGGGUCGAACUGGAGCUGCAGCUGAGGCCCACCGCAGCCACACUGGAUCCGAACCGCAUCUGCCAUUUACGCUGCAGGUGGUGGCAAUGCAGGAUCCUUAACCCACUGAGCCACAGCAGGAACUCCCAUGCCUAAGUCUUCAACAUACAGAUUCAUGUAGUGAGUGUUAAGAGAAGUCUAGGACAUUCUUUAGCCUCUGCUCACACUCCUCCCGUGACGGCCCCUCCUCACAAGGCAGCUGCUUGCAGCUCUGAUCCCUAUAAAGAUCCUGCUCAUUUUGAACAGAAUUUUCCCUUCUGUAAAUUCAACCUCUUGGUCCUUUCUCAAAGCCUUUAAUUCCAGGAGGCUUCUUCAAGCCUUUGAAAACCAUGGCGACAUCGUCCUCCUCCUCCCUGCCCCAGACUGAAUGUCCUUAUUUAGGUAAAGGUCCCGGAUGCCUCAAGACAGGCUUCGCAGACUCUGCUCCUUACUUUGGGCACGCUGCAGUCCGCUUGCGCCAUUUUUCUAACAUGAAAUACGAAAACCUAAAAAAUUCUUUGGGACUUCCCCCCCCCAAUAUUCACUGUCUUGGCCACACUUCACUCAUGUUAAACUUGAAAUUGACACCUCAAAGACGUAUUCGUCUCAACUUCUAUUAGACAACACAUUGGCCUAUCUUGUAUUGGUGUGGUUCAUUACUGCUUGUUUCUGAGUUUAGAAUUUUUUAUUUAUACAUUCAUUUUUAAAUUUCCUUUUAUUUUUUUUUGGGGGGGGGGACUAAUUUUUGAAGCUACCAUUACAGACUCUUGAGACUUAGGGAAUCUCGAGUCUGUUAUUCACUUGACAUAUGUCCUAUUAGCUCGUCCUCCUCUAAACCAACAGUGAAAUAAACAUUACGUGGUCCAGGGGCUUCUACCUGCGACACAGCUGGAGCACCUCUGAGGCUUGAUGCAGGAGGAAUUCAUUUACACACUGUAAGUGCUUCAGAGCUGCGAUUAUCUCUGAGCGGUUUGGUGCCCAGAACUGACUAAAUCCCUCGGGGCUUUUGUUUCCUUUAAGUCAAGCAGGAGCCAGUUUCAAACUGUGUGGGAACCUUUGCCUGCCAGGCACAGUAUUUUGUUGCAGCUCGAGGUCCUGUUUUUGAAUGAAACCUUUAGAGACAUCUUUCUUUCCUCCCUUAGUGUAGAUCUGAUUUUGUGCCCCUCCCAGCCUCUGCUUUGCCCUCCCCCUAAAAGACUUUAUUCUCUUCUUAAGAGAUCAUGUUAAUCCAUCAAGAAAAAACACACUGGAGGGAAAGAAGCCAGAACCACCGGUGUAGAGAGACAGACCCAAGCCUAGAGGGAGAUUGUGCUUCACGUCUGGAAAUUCCCCAUUUCUCCCUUGCUUCUCUACUGCGGGGAUUAUUUUAACAUAAAGCAGGGCUGACAAUUUGGAGUGUGUGAGGAGAAGUCCUUAGCAAAAUCCAGCUCCCAGCAAAAUCAUGGUUUAACGAAACCUGGGAGGUGUAGUCCUGUUUCAAGUCAAAUGGGUAUUAUUUUAACAAACUUACUCAAGUCCUAAAGAUUUAGAGCAUGGUUUAUGGUUGGGUCUCACACUCAGAGAUUCGCUACCCACAGGCUCAGAAUUGCAACCAGGGGCAUUAAUCUCAUUCGGCUCAGACAAGGUCAUAUGUGUGUGGCUGAGGUCACUGAGGAGGCUCGGAGUGUUGCCAUCCCUUGCUCUGUGACAGGGGCUAAGUCAAAGUGGGCCCGUUUCAUCUUUGCUCGACUGACGUGGUGUUGAAUUAAAUUAUCCUGAAAUCCUUUCUUUCCUUUUCUUUUUUUUUCUUUUAGGACCGCACCCAUGGCAUAUGGAAAUCCCCAGGCUAGGGGCCAAAUCCGAGCUGCAGAUGCUGGCAUACUCCACAGUCACAGCCACCCUGGAUCCGAGCUGCAUCUGCAACCUCCGUGACAGCUCACGGCAACGCCAGAUACUUAACCCACUGAGCAAGGCCAGGGAUUGAAUCGAAUCUUCAUGGGUAUGAGUCAGGUUCGUUAUGGCUGAGCCGUGAUGGGAACUCCUCUUUUUUCUUUUCAAGAUCAUCAUUCUUUAAAAAAAUUUUUUUUUACUCUUUUAAAGUUUAUUAAGCUUGUAAUUAUAAAAUAAUAUAUAUUCGCUGGAGAAAAGUUAAAGAAAAUGAAGAAAAAGAACUCUUUGUAAUAUCACUGCCCAGACACACCUGCUAUUCAUAUUUUGGUUUAUUCUCCUAAUUCUACUUUCCACCCCUAUGUAUUUCUACAAAGCAUUUAAGUACCAGACACACUUAUGAUGCGUCUCACCUGGGACUCCUUCACCGCAAGUGUAAAGCGAAUGGAUCUCUCUGGCCACCAGACUCGAGGGUGGCCCGUUCUUAGACUGACUCAGACCUGCGAGGUGUGGUCUGGCUCAGAAAGACAAGCUAAGCCAAUCCAUUUAGGAAUUUGGAACUGGGAGACUGAGAGGUGAAGCCGGUGAGUAAUAAAACUGAGAUGAACACACGUGAGAUAGACUAGAAGCGAACAAACACAUUUUGAACUGUGCGCAAGCUGCAUUUAUGAGACGGCAGUAACUAUGUUUAAGGAGAAGAGGCUGGCUCAGUGGAGAGACGACUCGGUAGAGAGAGAAACAAAAAGACGUGCCAAGGAAAUCCAGUAGCCUCAGAAAGAAGCCUUAUGCUUAGCGGAUUUCCAGAGAUCUAUCAAUUUCUUGAAAACUGAUUUUCAAGCAACCUAUCUGUCCUUGAGUCCUCGGCUUUGACUCUCAUGAGACUCUUCUAAAACAUACUCAAGGCCCCUUCUAUCUGGGCUGGGUCAAUGCUACAGACAACCAGAAGAAAUCUGACCUGAACAAUGUAAAUUCGAGCUGACAUUUUUAUUGACUAUUUAAAAUAGUUCCCCAAGUCAUUAUACGUGCUUUAAAUACACUGUUCUUUUUUUUUUCUUUUUCUUAGGGCUGCAUCUGUGGCAUAUGGAGGUUCCCAGGCUAGGGGUCGAGUCAGAGCUCCAGCUGCCGGCCUAUGCCACAGCCAUAGCAACAUCAGAUCCAAGCUGCACCUGCAACCUACACCACAGCUUGUGGCAAUGCCAACUCCUUAACUCACCAAGUGAGGCCAGGGAUUGGACCUGCAUCCUCAUGGAUACUAGUCAGGCUCUUAAUCCACUGAGCCACAAUGGGAACUCCUAAAUACCCUGUUUUUAAUGGCUAAGUAAUAUUUCAGAGCAUGAAUCCACUGCAUAAGAAACCUAGGGGUUACCAUCAUGGCUCCGAUUGGAUCCCUAGCCUGGGAACCACCACAUGCCACAGGUAUAGCCCUAAAAANAAAAAAAAAAAAAAAAAAAAAAAA